Molecule: long non-coding RNA, 646 nt
Organism: Schistocerca gregaria
Lineage: Eukaryota; Metazoa; Arthropoda; Insecta; Orthoptera; Acrididae
Exons: 3
Source: RefSeq, a predicted model, not a curated record
CGCCACAGUCCAUACACGUGGUGUCCCAGUACCUGUGCAAACUGUGAUACCCCAUUAACUCCACUGGCGUUUAAUGCUGCAGUCCGUCCUGUGUGGCUCUAGUUAGCCGCGUACAUCUCAGCAGCGAUCCCCAGGGCAAGACGUUGCGGUGGUGAGGCGGUUGUCCGUACCUCGUUGCAGUUCUCUGUUCGACGCUGCAGUCCUUGUCAUGGGCGAGGACAUACCCCCAUAUGCAGAUACAAGAAAGCCAGUGCAACCAUAUGUGGGUUAUGCGGAGGACAGUGAGGAACUUGGAGGUGGUGGGGAUAAGAUUUCAACGGCAGAUACUCACCAAAUGGAGAUGGAUAAGACCACAGUCCAUGGUACCUCCUUCCUGGGAAGUAAGAUGAAGAAGAAGAAGAAGAAGAAGAAGAGCAAAAUGACAACGAUUAUGAUGUAAAAUUUUUACAUGAGUUAAUAAAAAUUAAUAUUAUUUGUUUCUGUUUAUAUGUCCUGCAUGGAAAAUCAAUGACGAGCCUGUCUCGUUUGGUGCAAACGAUAGAUGUUUAUUGAUAACUGUGAUUAUAAUGCUAUUUUGAAUUUAAAUGGAUGUGCUGAAAAUAAUAUAAUAAUGUAGUAAUAUAAUAAUAUAGUAAUAUAGUAAACA